RNAcentral lists this ribosomal RNA (452 nucleotides) under uncultured bacterium. Its description in RNAcentral is "bacterial SSU rRNA". It matches the Rfam family "Bacterial small subunit ribosomal RNA", at positions 54 to 507 of the family's 1533-position model. The record is from RNAcentral.
CAUGCAAGUCGAACGGAGUUAUUUGAAUGAAGUUUUCGGAUGGAUUUCAGAUACUUAGUGGCGGACGGGUGAGUAACGCGUGAGCAACCUGCCUUUCAGAGGGGGACAACAGUUGGAAACGACUGCUAAUACCGCAUAAUGUAUCGGAACCGCAUGGCUCUGAUACCAAAGAUUUAUCGCUGAAAGAUGGGCUCGCGUACGAUUAGAUAGUUGGUGAGGUAACGGCUCACCAAGUCGACGAUCGUUAGCCGGACUGAGAGGUUUGAACGGCCACAUUGGGACUGAGACACGGCCCAGACUCCUACGGGAGGCAGCAGUGAGGAAUAUUGGGCAAUGGGCGCAAGCCUGACCCAGCAAUGCCGCGUGAAGGAAGACGGUUUUCGGAUUGUAAACUUCUUUUAAGAGGGACGAUAAUGACGGUACCUCUUGAAUAAGCCACGGCUAACUACGUG